GUCUGGGGACAAGGGCAGACCCUCGAGGCUGGAGGGAGGGAGUAUUGUAUAAUAUUUGGGUUUCGCCCCCAGUUCCUGGCUGGAGAUUGAGUCCAGUCACCAACGGCCAGUGAUUUCAUCGUAUGUACAUAACGGAGCCUCUGCAAAAACCCAACAAGGAGGGCUCGGGAAGCACAGGACGGUGCUGCCCACGUGAUGGGCGGUGGCACAUCUGGAGAAGGCAUGGAAGCCCAGUGCCAUUCUUCGCUCCCUGCCCUCACCGUCUACCUCCUCCGGCCGUUGGGAGUGUUUUCCUGAGACUAUAAACACCCGCCCGCACCACGUCCUUCAAGAACAGGACCCUGACCCCUGCCUUGCCUUCAGCUCCUCACCUGGAACAUGGGACAAGGACAGCCAUCCCUGCUGGCAUCCCGGGCCUGUGGGAUUCCACUGGGCCUCAGCGUCCCCAUCCCCAUCAUGGGCACAGGGGCGGCCCCGGCGAGCCGGCCUAGUUGGGAGAAACAAUAAAAUAGUGCCGUCACC
Molecule: long non-coding RNA, 522 nt
Organism: Herpailurus yagouaroundi (jaguarundi)
Lineage: Eukaryota; Metazoa; Chordata; Mammalia; Carnivora; Felidae
Exons: 2
Source: RefSeq, a predicted model, not a curated record